RNAcentral lists this RNase P RNA (323 nucleotides) under Flavobacterium psychrophilum. RNAcentral describes it as "RNase P RNA component class A". It matches the Rfam family "Bacterial RNase P class A". Rfam says of the family: Ribonuclease P (RNase P) is a ubiquitous endoribonuclease, found in archaea, bacteria and eukarya as well as chloroplasts and mitochondria. Its best characterised activity is the generation of mature 5'-ends of tRNAs by cleaving the 5'-leader elements of precursor-tRNAs. Lineage: Bacteria; Pseudomonadati; Bacteroidota; Flavobacteriia; Flavobacteriales; Flavobacteriaceae. The record is from RNAcentral.
GCCGCAGGCCUUCUUAUCGCUGCCCGCUUAGGCGGGGAGAGGAAAGUCCGGACACCAUAGGGCAGCAUAGCGGGUAAUUCCCGUCACUUCGUUUCGGCGGAGGAGGACAAGUGCAGCAGAAAGUAUGUACAGGUAAUGCUGUAGUGAAACCAGGUAAACUCUAUGCGGUGAAAUGCCAUGUAUACCGGCAAUUAAGGGCGGCUCGUCCGAUGCCGGGGGGUAGGCAGAUUGAUCUCUCGCAGUAAUGCAGAGGCUAGAUAAAUGAUAAGAAACCCCGCUUUAGGGCGGGGUUACAGAAUCCGGCUUACAGGCCUGCUAUUUUU